Molecule: unclassified non-coding RNA, 344 nt
Filed under: soil metagenome
Description: partial contains 5.8S ribosomal RNA, internal transcribed spacer 2, and large subunit ribosomal RNA
Rfam family: 5.8S ribosomal RNA (bases 1-120)
Source: RNAcentral
GAUGAAGAACGUAGCGAAAUGCGAUAAGUAGUGUGAAUUGCAGAAUUCAGUGAAUCAUCGAAUCUUUGAACGCACAUUGCGCCCACUGGUAUUCCGGUGGGCAUGCCUGUUCGAGCGUCAUUAUCCUCCCUCAAACCCCGGGUUUGGUGUUGGACCCAAGUUGUGUGAACAACUGGUCUCAAAGACAAUGACGGCGUCCGUGGGACCCUCGGUGCAACGAGCUUUUAGGAGCACGCGCCGAGUUGCAAGGACCUUCCGGGCCGGUCUCCUUUACUAUUUUACAAGGUUGACCUCGGAUCAGGUAGGAAUACCCGCUGAACUUAAGCAUAUCAAUAAGCGGAGGA